Molecule: ribosomal RNA, 420 nt
Filed under: Enterobacter sp. PM72
Lineage: Bacteria; Pseudomonadati; Pseudomonadota; Gammaproteobacteria; Enterobacterales; Enterobacteriaceae
Description: bacterial SSU rRNA
Rfam family: Bacterial small subunit ribosomal RNA
Source: RNAcentral
UUAACGCGAAGAGACUACCUGGUCUUGACAUCCACAGAACCUGGCAGAGAUGCCGGGGUGCCUUCGGGAACUGUGAGACAGGUGCUGCAUGGCUGUCGUCAGCUCGUGUUGUGAAAUGUUGGGUUAAGUCCCGCAACGAGCGCAACCCUUAUCCUUUGUUGCCAGCGGUUAGGCCGGGAACUCAAAGGAGACUGCCAGUGAUAAACUGGAGGAAGGUGGGGAUGACGUCAAGUCAUCAUGGCCCUUACGACCAGGGCUACACACGUGCUACAAUGGCGCAUACAAAGAGAAGCGACCUCGCGAGAGCAAGCGGACCUCAUAAAGUGCGUCGUAGUCCGGAUUGGAGUCUGCAACUCGACUCCAUGAAGUCGGAAUCGCAUAGUAAUCGUGAAUCAGAAUGUACAUCGGUGAAUAUGACUA